GACGAACGCUGGCGGCGUGCCUAAUACAUGCAAGUUGAGCGCUGAAGGUUGGUACUUGUACCAACUGGAUGAGCAGCGAACGGGUGAGUAACGCGUGGGGAAUCUGCCUUUGAGCGGGGGACAACAUUUGGAAACGAAUGCUAAUACCGCAUAAAAACUUUAAACACAAGUUUUAAGUUUGAAAGAUGCAAUUGCAUCACUCAAAGAUGAUCCCGCGUUGUAUUAGCUAGUUGGUGAGGUAAAGGCUCACCAAGGCGAUGACACAUAGCCGACCUGAGAGGGUGAUCGGCCACAUUGGGACUGAGACACGGCCCAAACUCCUACGGGAGGCAGCAGUAGGGAAUCUUCGGCAAUGGACGGAAGUCUGACCGAGCAACGCCGCGUGAGUGAAGAAGGUUUUCGGAUCGUAAAACUCUGUUGGUAGAGAAGAACGUUGGUGAGAGUGGAAAGCUCAUCAAGUGACGGUAACUACCCAGAAAGGGACGGCUAACUACGUG
RNAcentral lists this ribosomal RNA (497 nucleotides) under uncultured bacterium. RNAcentral's name for it is "partial 16S ribosomal RNA". It matches the Rfam family "Bacterial small subunit ribosomal RNA", at positions 28 to 507 of the family's 1533-position model. The record is from RNAcentral.